UCCGUAGGUGAACCUGCGGAAGGAUCAUUACAGAAAUAGGAGAAGGUUGCUUAACUGCAAUCCUUUUCUUUCUACACAUGUGUUUUUCUUUUUUUUGAAAACUUUGCUUUGGUGGGCCCACGGCCUGCCAGAGAUUAAACUCAACCAAAUUUUUAUUUAAUUGUCAACUUGAUUAACUAAUAGGCAAAACUUUCAACAACGGAUCUCUUGGUUCUCGCAUCGAUGAAGAACGCAGCGAAAUGCGAUAAGUAAUAUGAAUUGCAGAUAUUCGUGAAUCAUCGAAUCUUUGAACGCACAUUGCGCCCUUUGGUAUUCCAAAGGGCAUGCCUGUUUGAGCGUCAUUUCUCCCUCAAACCUUCGGGUUUGGUGUAGAGCGAUACGCUGGGUUUGCUUGAAAGAAAGGCGGAGUAUAAACUAAUGGAUAGGUUUUUUUUUUCCACUCAUUGGUACAAACUCCAAACAUUCUUCCAAAUUCGACCUCAAAUCAGGUAGGACUAUCCGCUGAACUUAAGCAUAUCAAUAAGCGGAGGA
RNAcentral lists this ribosomal RNA (531 nucleotides) under uncultured fungus. Its description in RNAcentral is "partial 18S ribosomal RNA". The stretch from base 188 to 341 matches the Rfam family "5.8S ribosomal RNA". Lineage: Eukaryota; Fungi. The record is from RNAcentral.